UACUAGCGAAAAGCUUGAAACUCAAAGGACUUGGCGGUGCUCCAUACUCGACUUAGAGGAGCCUGUCCUAUAACCGAUGAUCCACGAUAAACCUUACCAUUUUUUGCCAUAUCAGCCUAUAUACCGCCGUCGCCAACUUACCCCAUGAGGGCUAAAAAGUAAGUACAAUAGUACAACAACUAAUACGUCAGGUCAAGGUGUAGCUAAUAAAAUGGGAGAGAUGGGCUACAUUUUUUAACAUAAAACACACGGCAAAGCACCAUGAAACUUGGUGCUCGAAGGCGGAUUUAACAGUAAGACAAGCAAGAAAGCUUGCCUUAAACUCGCUCUGGAGCGCGCACACACCGCCCGUCACCCU
Molecule: ribosomal RNA, 358 nt
Filed under: Conolophus subcristatus (Galapagos land iguana)
Lineage: Eukaryota; Metazoa; Chordata; Lepidosauria; Squamata; Iguanidae
Description: partial 12S ribosomal RNA
Rfam family: Bacterial small subunit ribosomal RNA
Source: RNAcentral